Molecule: ribosomal RNA, 254 nt
Filed under: uncultured bacterium
Lineage: Bacteria
Description: partial 16S ribosomal RNA
Rfam family: Bacterial small subunit ribosomal RNA
Source: RNAcentral
UACGUAGGGGGCAAGCGUUGUCCGGAUUUAUUGGGCGUAAAGAGCUCGUAGGUGGUUCGGUAAGUCGGAUGUGAAAUCUCCAGGCUCAACCUGGAGGGGUCAUUCGAUACUGCCGUGACUAGAGGUCGGUAGGGGAGUGUGGAAUUCCUGGUGUAGCGGUGAAAUGCGCAGAUAUCAGGAGGAACACCAGCGGCGAAGGCGGCGCUCUGGGCCGGUACUGACACUGAGGAGCGAAAGCGUGGGGAGCGAACAGG